CUUCAGUCUGUUGCGAGCACUGUCUCUUUCCAUUUUCACUUUCACAUUUUGCCUCAGAUUAGUAUCAUUGGAGUGGCUGCUGUUAAAACUUGUGCUUUGAAUGAAGAGAUCCUCCAAACAGGCUUUGUGUGAGCAACAUGGCUGUUUUUCACCUGGGUGCAGGAAGAGCCCCCACAAAGUUAAAAGUUUCAGUCUUCUGGAUCUACCUUGCAGACACUGCAGGAGCCAGAAGGAUGACCGAGUCAGA
This 247-nucleotide long non-coding RNA is filed under the name Callithrix jacchus (white-tufted-ear marmoset). Its description in RNAcentral is "lncRNA (ENSCJAG00000072649.1)". Lineage: Eukaryota; Metazoa; Chordata; Mammalia; Primates; Cebidae. The record is from RNAcentral.